Molecule: ribosomal RNA, 423 nt
Filed under: Brassica napus (rape)
Lineage: Eukaryota; Viridiplantae; Streptophyta; Magnoliopsida; Brassicales; Brassicaceae
Description: eukaryotic LSU rRNA
Source: RNAcentral
GAAUUGCAGAAUCCCGUGAACCAUCGAGUCUUUGAACGCAAGUUGCGCCCCAAGCCUUCUGGCCGAGGGCACGUCUGCCUGGGUGUCACAAAUCGUCGUCCCCCCAUCCUCUCGAGGAUAUGGGACGGAAGCUGAUCUCCCGUGUGUUACCGCACGCGGUUGGCCAAAAUCCGAGCUAAGRACGUCAGGAGCGUCUUGACAUGCGGUGGUGAAUUUAAUUCUCGUCAUAUAGUCAGACGUUCCGGUCCAAAAGCUCUUGAUGACCCAAAGUCCUCAACGCGACCCCAGGUCAGGCGGGAUCACCCGCUGAGUUUAAGCAUAUCAAUAAGCGGAGGAAAAGAAACUAACAAGGAUUCCCUUAGUAACGGCGAGCGAACCGGGAAGAGCCCAGCUUGAAAAUCGGACGUCUUCGGCGUUCGAAUU